RNAcentral lists this long non-coding RNA (485 nucleotides) under Stegodyphus dumicola. RNAcentral describes it as "uncharacterized LOC118205791, transcript variant X1". Lineage: Eukaryota; Metazoa; Arthropoda; Arachnida; Araneae; Eresidae. The record is from RNAcentral.
AAUAUAUGUAAAUAAAAGUUUCGCUUCAAGAGAAGAGACGAAAGUUUAUUUCAAGAUGAAGACCCUAAUGCUUAUUUUAUUGUUGGGAUUUGUACUUUGGUGUGACUAUGCAGAGGCUGGAUUAUGCAGUUGGAUAUGUCGCAGUGUGUGUCCGAUACCGGGAGUAUGCCAUGUGGCUUGCAAGCUGUUAUGCACUGAUCCAGUUAGUGUGAAAACUUAUAUUUUUCCUUUGCCAAAUCCUGAAUAAAUUGUUUUUCACAUUUUAGACUUUGUUACAGAAGUUCGGAACACAAAAAGAAAGAACAACAGCAUCAUGGGAGUUGAAAAACCUUCUUUUCUAUGUUGAUUUUCUGAAAAGGAGUGAUUGAUCUUUAAGAAAAACCUUCAUCUGUCUGUUUUGAUUGAUAUUUUUAUAGUGCGCUGUCUGGAACAGACAAUAAUGUAAUUUAAUAAAAGUUAUUUUCUGUUUUUAUUCAAGCUAAAAA